This 254-nucleotide ribosomal RNA is filed under the name uncultured bacterium. RNAcentral's name for it is "partial 16S ribosomal RNA". It matches the Rfam family "Bacterial small subunit ribosomal RNA", at positions 524 to 776 of the family's 1533-position model. The record is from RNAcentral.
UACGUAGGGGGCAAGCGUUGUCCGGAAUCAUUGGGCGUAAAGAGCUCGUAGGCGGUGUGUCGCGUCGGCCGUGAAAACCUGCAGCUUAACUGUGGGCUUGCGGUCGAUACGGGCAUCACUGGAGUUCGGCAGGGGAGACUGGAAUUCCUGGUGUAGCGGUGAAAUGCGCAGAUAUCAGGAGGAACACCGGUGGCGAAGGCGGGUCUCUGGGCCGUAACUGACGCUGAGGAGCGAAAGCAUGGGGAGCGAACAGG